AUACGGAGGGUGCAAGCGUUAAUCGGAAUUACUGGGCGUAAAGGGUACGUAGGCGGUUAGAUAAGUUGGAUGUGAAAGCCCUGGGCUCAACCUAGGAACUGCAUUCAAAACUGUCUAACUAGAGUGUAUAAGAGGUUAGCGGAAUUCCAGGUGUAGCAGUGAAAUGCGUAGAUAUCUGGAGGAACAUCAGUGGCGAAGGCGGCUAACUGGUAUAACACUGACGCUGAGGUACGAAAGCGUGGGGAGCGAACGGGAUUAGAAACCCGUGUAGUCC
This 274-nucleotide ribosomal RNA is filed under the name uncultured bacterium. RNAcentral's name for it is "partial 16S ribosomal RNA". It matches the Rfam family "Bacterial small subunit ribosomal RNA", at positions 523 to 796 of the family's 1533-position model. The record is from RNAcentral.